This 1061-nucleotide ribosomal RNA is filed under the name Klebsiella pneumoniae. RNAcentral describes it as "bacterial SSU rRNA". It matches the Rfam family "Bacterial small subunit ribosomal RNA", at positions 39 to 1094 of the family's 1533-position model. The record is from RNAcentral. Lineage: Bacteria; Pseudomonadati; Pseudomonadota; Gammaproteobacteria; Enterobacterales; Enterobacteriaceae.
GGGGCUGGAGCUACCUGCAGUCGAGCGGUAGCACAGAGGAGCUUGGUCUCGUGUGAGGAGAGGGGGACGGGUGAGUAAUGUGUGUGAAACUGUCUGAUGGAGGGGGAUAACUACUGUGAACGGUAGCUAUUACCGCAUAUAGUCGCAAGACCAAAGUGGGGGACCUUCUCGCCUCUUGCCAUCUCAUGUGCCCCGAUGUGAUUAUAUAUUAGGUGGGGUAACGGCUCACCUAUACGACAAUCCCUAUAUGUGCUGAGAGGAUGACCACCCACACUGUAACUGAGACACGCUCCACACUCCUACGCGAGGCAGCAGUGGGGAAUAUUGUGCAAUGUGCGCAAGCCUGAUGCAGCCAUGUCGCGUGUGUGAAAAAAGCCUUCUCGUUGUAAAGAACUUUCAGCGCGGAGGAAGGCGAUAAGGUUAAUAACCUCGUCGAUUGACGUUACCCGCACAAAAAACACCGCGUAACUCCGUGCCAGCAGCCGCGCUAAUACGCAGGGUGCGAGCGUUAAUCGCAAUUACUGUGCGUAAAGCGCACGCAGGCGGUCUGUCAAGUCGCAUGUGAAAUCCCCGCGCUCAACCUGUGAACUGUGUUCUAAACUGUGAGGCUAUAGUCUUGUAUAGAGGGGUAGAAUUCCAGGUGUAGCGCUGAGAUGCGUAUAGAUCUGUAGGAAUACCGCUGUGGAAGGCGGCCCCCUGUACAAAGACUGACGCUCUCGUGCGAAAGCGUGUGGAGCAAACAGGAUUAUAUACCCUGUGAGACCACGCCGCAAACGAUGUCGAUAUGUAGGUUGUGCCCUUGAGACGUGGGUUCCGCAGAUAUCGCGUUAAAUCGACCGCCUGUGGAGUACGCCCGCAAGGUUAAAACUCUCAUGAAUUGACGGGGGCCCCCACAAGCGCUGGAGCAUGUGGGUUAAUUCUAUGCAACGCGAAGAACCUUACCUGGGCUUGACAUCCCCAGAACUUUUCAGAGAUGAUUUGUUGCCUUCUGCAACUGUGAAACAGUGCUGCAUGGCUGUCGUCACCUCCUGUUGUGAAAAGUUGGGUUAAUUCCGCCACCC